Molecule: ribosomal RNA, 276 nt
Filed under: uncultured bacterium
Lineage: Bacteria
Description: partial 16S ribosomal RNA
Rfam family: Bacterial small subunit ribosomal RNA
Source: RNAcentral
CUCCCGCCGGCGACCGGCGCACGGGUGAGUAACACGUAUGAAACCUGCCCGUAGCAGGGGGAUAAGCGGAAGAAAUUCCGUCUAAUACCGCGUAACAACCCGAGGAGGCAUCUCCUCGGGUUUAAAGGAAGCGAUUCCGGCUACGGAUGGUCAUGCGUCGCAUUAGCUAGUUGGCGGGGUAACGGCCCACCAAGGCGACGAUGCGUAGGGGUUCUGAGAGGAAGGUCCCCCACAUUGGAACUGAGACACGGUCCAAACUCCUACGGAAGGCAGCAG